Molecule: ribosomal RNA, 446 nt
Filed under: uncultured bacterium
Lineage: Bacteria
Description: bacterial SSU rRNA
Rfam family: Bacterial small subunit ribosomal RNA
Source: RNAcentral
UGCCAGACUCCUACGGGAGGCAGCAGUGGGGAAUAUUGCACAAUGGGGGAAACCCUGAUGCAGCGACGCCGCGUGAGUGAGGAAGUAUUUCGGUAUGUAAAGCUCUUUCAGCAGGGAAGAAAAUGACGGUACCUGACUAAGAAGCCCCGGCUAACUACGUGCCAGCAGCCGCGGUAAUACGUAGGGGGCAAGCGUUGUCCGGAUUUACUGGGUGUAAAGGGAGCGUAGACGGCUAGUCAAGUCAGAAGUGAAAGCCCAGGGCUCAACCCCGGGACUGCAUUUGAAACUGUCAGGCUGGAGUGCAGGAGAGGUAAGUGGAAUUCCCAGUGUAGCGGUGAAAUGCGUAGAUAUUAGGAGGAACACCAGUGGCGAAGGCGGCUUACUGGACUGUAGCUGACGUUGAGGCUCGAAAGCGUGGGGAGCAAACAGGAUUAGAUCCCCCCGUA